CCUACGGGAGGCUGCAGUGAGGAAUAUUGGUCAAUGGACGCAAGUCUGAACCAGCCAUGCCGCGUGCAGGAUGACGGCUCUAUGAGUUGUAAACUUCUUUUGUACAGGGGUAAAACGCGACACGUGUGCCUUUUUGCAAGUACUUUAUGAAUAAGGAUCGGCUAACUCCGUGCCAGCAGCCGCGGUAAUACGGAGGAUCCGAGCGUUAUCCGGAUUUAUUGGGUUUAAAGGGAGCGUAGGUGGGUUGUUAAGUUAGUUGUGAAAUUUUGCGGCUCAACCCCGAAAUUGCAUUUGAUACUGGUGGUCUGGAGUACAGUUGAGGUAGGCGGAAUGUGUGGUGUAGCGGUGAAAUGCUUAGAGAUCACGCAGAACCCCGAUUGCGAAGGCAGCUUACUAAACUGUAUCUGACGUUGAGGCACGAAAGCGUGGGUAGCAAACAGGAUUAGAUACCCGAGUAGUC
This 460-nucleotide ribosomal RNA is filed under the name uncultured bacterium. RNAcentral describes it as "partial 16S ribosomal RNA". It matches the Rfam family "Bacterial small subunit ribosomal RNA", at positions 338 to 795 of the family's 1533-position model. The record is from RNAcentral.